GGGGAAGAAGGUUCCCCUUCGGGGAUGAACUAAAGGGGAAGAAGGGGGUUCCCCUUUAGGGGAAGAACUUUAGUUCCCCUUUAGGGGAUGAUGCCGAAGGGUGUCAUCUUCUUUGGGUAACCCAAAGGGGAUAAACAAAGGGAACCCAAAGGUUCCCGGAGGGUAUCACUUCCCCCUUCGGGUUGUCUGUCCCCCUUGUUCAUCCCCUAAAGGGGAACUAAAGGGGAUGGGGGAACAAAAAGGUUGUCCCCCUUUAGUUCCCCUAAAGGGGAUGAACCAAAGGCUCUAAGAGUUUGGUGGUCCUCUUUGGGUGUCUUUGGUUCCCCUUUAGUUCAUCCCCGAAGGGGAACCUUCUUCCCCUUUAGGGGACUCCGUCCCCUAAAGGGGAAGAAGGGGAACACCCCUUCGUCUCCCCUUUGGGGAACACUAAAGGGGAAGAAGAAGAAGAAGAAGAAGAAGAAGAAGAAGAAGAAGAAGAAGAAGAAGAAGAAGAAGAAGAAGAAGAAGACCAGAGGGGACAGGGCAUAACUUGACGAGGGGGGGGGGACAGCCAACCAACCGGCCUUAAGCCGGAUACUAUAACGUAGUAACAGCCAACAUAUUAACAUAUAGCUUCAACUUGGCUGCAGAGCAGCUGCUUCUAAACUUCACUAAACCAGAGCGUCAGCGUCAGCCACGUGAGCUACUUAAGUUUGUCCAUCCCGAAGGGGGGGGCUUACUUUAACGUAAUUAUGCUACAGAACUUAUCUUGUGAGGGACUCUGGCCCGAACAAAGGUAAACAAUAUAUGGUGUUAAGCCUAGUUCUCUUUUAGGGGCGAAGCCCCCCGCGAAAUAGUAAUGUAGCUUAUGUUAUUAACCACAUUCAACUACACAGGACUCUAAACUACACAGGACUCUCGCUACUGUAGUCCGUUGUGAGUAUUGUCUUUUAGACGCAGGCCGUUGGCACUACUCUAGGUGCUAGAAAUACGCUGUAACUUGUGAGCGGGUUGUCUUCCCCUAAAGGGGAACAAACUUCGGUUCCUUGUCAUCCCCCUAGGGGAAACCAAAGGGUUACCUUGUCCCCUUGUCCCCCUCUGGUUUCCCGAACGGGAAGGGGGUCCCAAGGGUUGUCCCCCUUCUGAACCCUUUGGUUGUCUUCCCCGAAGGGGACAAGAAGGGGACCCCAAGGUUGUUACCCUCCCCCUUUGUCUCUUUUUCCCCUUAAAGGGGACCCCGUGGUCAUCGUCCCUAAAGGGGAAGAGCACUAAAGUGCUCUUCUUCUUCCCCUAAAGGGGACUAAGUUUCCCCUAAAGGGGAUGAACUAAAGGGGACCCCCUUUAGUUCCCCUUAGGGGGAUGAACUAAAGGGGAAGACGACAUCCCCGAAGGGGGAACAUCAUCGUCUUCCCCUUUGGGGAACCCCUUCGUUUUCACUAAAGGGUUGUCUUCUUUAGGGUUGUCUUCUNUAGUUCGUCUUCUUUAGGGGAACCAAAGGGGAAGAACCAAAGUCUUCCCCUAAAGGGGAACCCCUUCUUCCCCGUUAGUUCCCCCUAAAGGGGAAGAAGAACACUAAAGUUCCCCUUUAGGGGAUGAUGAACUAAAGGGGAUGGGGAACAAAGAAGACAGACAACCCUUUGGUAACCCAAAGGGGACAACCCAAAGGGGUUCCCCUUUAGGGGAAGACAACCCUUUGGUUCAUCCCCUAAAGUUCUUCCCCUUUAGGGGAAGAAGAACUAAAGGGGAGCCCAAAGAAGAUGACAACCCUUUGGUUCCCCUUUAGGGGACGAUGACGAAGUAUGAAAAGCUAGGUGAACUGCACCAGUACGUUGUGGCCUACGGCCGUUAGGUGAUCGUAGACGUUUUUUAUCCCCCUUCGGGGAAAGAGCUUCGCCCGUUGUUGUGAGGAACGUGUGCGCUCGGUUAAGUUAGGUGCACUGCACCGACAAGCGAAAGGUAGAUUUAGUUAUUUUAUUCUGGGCCUCCGUCCCUUCGUUAGAUUUGUUACACAGUAACAUAAAAAUUUCCAAACUAAGCACAACACAAGCGCGUCCCCCGAAGGGGAACCUUUGGUUAUCCCCCUUCGGAAACCCUUUGGUUUAUCCCCUAAAGUUCAUCCCCGAAGGGGAACCCCUUCGUCUUCUUCCCCGAAGGGGACCCCUACGUCAUCCCCGAAGGGUAACCCCUUUGGUUCUUCCCCAUAGUCUCCCCAAAGUCUCCCCGAAGAAGAGACUUUGG
RNAcentral lists this long non-coding RNA (2217 nucleotides) under Volvox carteri. RNAcentral's name for it is "long non-coding RNA (VCAR_LNC004299)". Lineage: Eukaryota; Viridiplantae; Chlorophyta; Chlorophyceae; Chlamydomonadales; Volvocaceae. The record is from RNAcentral.